CUGCUGGUGUAAUUUAACUCUUCAACGGAUGGAUGGAGCAACUGUGAAUGCCUGGCUGUAUUUCCCAGGCUAAAAGAUUUGAGGCCAGCCAUCAUAACCACACAAUAUGCAAGUUUUUCUUGUGCAGGUCUUAACCUGUCACCAGCAACCAUCUCAGGAUCAUCGCUUGGGUAAUGAUUUCCUUUACUUUUAUUGACUGCCUGUAACCUACUAGAUAUUUUAAUGCUGCAUUGCUGCAUUAUCUGCAAACCUUUCAUUCUCCCAUUCAUUAACAAUUAGUGUUUACCCAGUAUCUCAUUUUCAACUUUUCCUGACUUGUUGUUAUUCUGUCAAUAUUUUUCGUAACCCAUUUUCUAUUUUUAUUUAGACAAACAGCAUCCCUAGCUCGAUUGGAGAAACUACCGAUGUCGGCCGAGUUAUGGAUCUCCCUUUUUCCCCUUUUUUAAAAUGUCCUCGUGUACGCCCAUGUGAGUGUGGGUGUAUUCACGAGGACACCCUUUUUACCCUAUUCCGUCUGCUGGUGUAAUUCAACUCUUCAGCGGCAGCAACUGUGGAUGCCUGGCUGCAUUUCCCAGGAAUAAAGCUGUCGUUGGCAAAGCUUCUAGCGUAUCGUCCGUGCUGCUGGGUGUCACAAAUCGGAAGCAAACCAGGAAAACAAUGAGAAUCACACUCGGUCUUGGCAUCUAUCUUUUAGGCUAAGCGAAUUGAUUAGAUCGCGUUUGUUCUCGGCUCUGUCGUCCGCGGAAGACGUUUCAAUUCACCUCACGUUAAAGUUCACGAUAAUUCCGGAUAACUCGAACGGACACGUUUCCUC
Molecule: long non-coding RNA, 814 nt
Organism: Daphnia pulex (common water flea)
Lineage: Eukaryota; Metazoa; Arthropoda; Branchiopoda; Diplostraca; Daphniidae
Exons: 4
Source: RefSeq, a predicted model, not a curated record